UGGUCAAGUUAUUAAGGGUGCAGGGCGGAUGCCUUGGCACUAGGAGCCGAUGAAGGACGUGAUAAGCUGCGAUAAGCUUCGGGGAGUUGCACGUAAACUUUGAUCCGAAGAUUUCCGAAUGAGGAAACUCACUUAGAGUAAUGUCUAAGUAUCAUUAAGUGAAUACAUAGCUUAAUGAGGGGAACUCAGGGAACUGAAACAUCUAAGUACCUGAAGGAAGAGAAAGAAAUUCGAUUCCGUAAGUAGCGGCGAGCGAACGCGGAUUAGCCCAAACCAAUAAAGUUUUCUUUAUUGGGGUUGCGGACAUAUCAUAACGAAGAGGUAUCGUAAUUGAAGAGGUUUGGAAAGACCCACCACAGAAGGUAAUAGUCCUGUAUGUUAAACGAGAAGACGUUAGAUAUGAUCCAGAGUACCACGGGACACGUGAAACCCUGUGGGAAGCAGGAGGGACCACCCUCCAAGGCUAAAUACUACCUAG
This 478-nucleotide ribosomal RNA is filed under the name Clostridioides difficile. RNAcentral's name for it is "bacterial LSU rRNA". It matches the Rfam family "Bacterial large subunit ribosomal RNA", at positions 1 to 480 of the family's 2925-position model. Lineage: Bacteria; Bacillati; Bacillota; Clostridia; Peptostreptococcales; Peptostreptococcaceae. The record is from RNAcentral.